CAUGGACAUAGAGCUGGUGCUUUGCAUACGGCCACCCCAGUGAUUGUCCCUUGCUCUGGGGAGCAGCUAUAAAGGGGCCGGUUUAAUGCUUGGUGUCUCUCAGCUCCGUGUCAGUCAGUGCAGAAGCAUCAAGAUGCUGUGGCAGACUCAGCUCCUUGGGCUCCUCGUGCUCUGUGUGCAGGACUCCAGUGGUGACAUUCUUGUAACCCAGACUCCAGAGUCCCUGGUGGUGUCUCCAGGAGACACAGUCACCAUCAAGUGCAAAACCAGCUCCAGUGUUAGCACCAACAUGGACCUCUUCCAGCAGAAACCAGGGCAAGCUCCUAAGAUCUUUGUCUACAACACAAAUACCCGUCCCUCCGGGAUCCCCGACCGGUUCAGUGGCAGUGGCUCUGGCACCGACUUCACUUUCACCAUCAGCCGCAUAGAAGCUGAUGAUGCUGGAGAUUAUUACUGCAUGCAGAAUACCCAGUGGCCUCGCACAGUGCUACAGCCCCAUGCAAAAACCUCCCUGCUCUGCUCAGCUCUGUUGCUCUCAGCACUGGCUGCUUCCUGUACAGUCACAGGCCAGUGAC
Gavialis gangeticus (Gharial) is the source of this 575-nucleotide non-coding RNA. NCBI's taxonomy places the organism in Eukaryota, Metazoa, Chordata, Crocodylia, Gavialidae. The record is from the annotation of a RefSeq genome assembly.